AGUCACUGACAUUAGAUACCCGUGUAGUCCCAGCCGUAAACUAUGCGCGUUAGGUGUAUCGGUGACCACGAGUCACCGAGGUGCCGAAGGGAACCGUGAAACGUGCCGCCUGGGAAGUACGGUCGCAAGGCUGAAACUUAAAGGAAUUGGCGGGGGAGCACAACAACGGGUGGAGCCUGCGGUUUAAUUGGACUCAACGCCGGACAACUCACCGGGGACGACAGCAAUAUGUAGGCCAGGCUGAAGACCUUCGCCUGAAUCGCUG
RNAcentral lists this ribosomal RNA (265 nucleotides) under uncultured archaeon. RNAcentral's name for it is "partial 16S ribosomal RNA". It matches the Rfam family "Archaeal small subunit ribosomal RNA", at positions 717 to 982 of the family's 1478-position model. The record is from RNAcentral.